This 406-nucleotide ribosomal RNA is filed under the name uncultured bacterium. RNAcentral's name for it is "partial 16S ribosomal RNA". It matches the Rfam family "Bacterial small subunit ribosomal RNA", at positions 30 to 526 of the family's 1533-position model. The record is from RNAcentral.
AUUGAACGCUGGCGGCAGGCCUAACACAUGCAAGUCGAACGAGUGGCGGACGGGUGAGUAAUGUAUGGGAAACUGCCUGAUGGAGGGGGAUAACUACUGGAAACGGUAGCUAAUACCGCAUACCAUCAGAUGUGCCCAGAUGGGUUUAGCUUGUUGGUGGGGUAACGGCUCACCAAGGCGACGAUCCCUAGCUGGUCCGAGAGGAUGACCAGCCACACUGGGACUGAGACACGGUCCAGAUUCCUACGGGAGGCAGCAGUGGGGAAUAUUGGACAAUGGGCGAAAGCCUGAUGCAGCCAUGCCGCGUGGAUGAUGAAGGCCUUCGGGUUGUAAAGUACUUUCAGCGAGGAGGCGUUACCCGCAGAAGAAGCACCGGCUAACUCCGUGCCAGCAGCCGCGGUAAUAC